This is a long non-coding RNA of Schistocerca cancellata (South American locust), 2597 nucleotides long. RefSeq lists it as uncharacterized. The record is from RefSeq and is a predicted model, not a curated record. NCBI's taxonomy places the organism in Eukaryota, Metazoa, Arthropoda, Insecta, Orthoptera, Acrididae. The transcript is spliced from 3 exons.
GAAUUUAUGUUGAAAAUAGCUAUGUAAUUUGGUUUUCAAUACUUUAUUUUGCUUGUGGUUCCAAGACGCUCAGACUUAUCUCUGUGUAAUGCUGCAGACGCCCCAGAAUGUGAUUGUCUGCUUGUGCACUUUUUUCCGGUGGAUUGCCCACCUGUGACAAUUUGUUUCUUAUCACACUUUUCCGUGAUUGAUAAUAUUAUGUAUGUCGUGGCCCUUAUGGUUAGAGCCACUGGGGCUACAGUCACGGUUGUUAGCCCUGGAGGUUUUUCUCAGCUGCUCCUAGCCUGGGGAGCACACCCUGACCAAAAGCUAUUUUAGCAGUAUUUUUCAUUUCCUGUGACAGAUUAUUAUACAGUUCUUCUGUGUGGAGGCACACAGCCUCAGCAAGUUUGAAGAAAAUCAUUAUUCAGUCAGGCUGUGUUCAAAAUAUUGUUUUUUUUUUUACUAGUUUCAGGAGCCACCAAUACUCAAGAUUUGCACUCUUGGAGUGCAGCAGAGUCCACCCAGCACUCCAGUUUCCCCCAUUACUGCACUAUUCUGAGGAGGUGUGCGAGUGAAACAACUGUAUGAUGAAGGCUGCACAUAUGGGGAAAUUAGGAAGAUGUGUUUGCAACACAGUGUGAUUACUUUUAAGAGGUUUUACCAUGAACUCCUGGGCUCCAGAAGAAAAUGCAAACAAUCUUAUUGUUCAGUUUUAUUGUGUUGCAACAAGUCAAAUGACGAUUUGUAUCUUGGAUGAAAUGAAGAGAAACUCUCAAUAAACAUAUUGCUAUUCAAGUGAACAGUGCUCGGGGGAAGAUCAGUUUGGACUCCAUAGAAAUAUUGGAACACGUGAGGCAAUACUGCCCCUACAACUUAUCUUAGAAGAUAGAUUAAGGAAAGGCAAACUUACAUUUCUAGCAUUUGUAGACUUAGAGAAAGCUUUUGACAGUGUUGACUGGAAUACUCUCUUUCAAAUUCUGUAGGUGGCAAAGGUAAAAUACAGGGAACGAAAGGCUAUUUACAAUUUGUACAGAAACCAGAUGGCAGCUAUGAGUCGAGGGAUAUGAAAGGGAAGCAGUGGUUGGGAAGGGAGUGAGACAGGGUUGUAGCCUAUCCCCGAUGUUAUUCAAUCUGUAUAUUGAGCAAGCAGUAAAGGAAACAAAAGAAAAAUUCGAAGUUCUAAUUAAAAUCCAUGGAGAAGAAACAAAAACUUUGAGGUUCGCCGAUGACAUUGUAAUUCUGUCAGAGACAGCAAAGGACCUGGAAGAGCAGCUGAACGGAAUGGACAGUGUCUUGAAAGGAGGAUAUAAUAUGAACAUCAACAAAAGCAAAAUGACGACAAUGGGAUGUAGUCGAAUUAAGUCGGGUGAUGCUGCGGGAAUUAGAUUAGGAAAUGAGACGCUUAAAGUAGUAAACGAGUUUUGCUUUUUGGGGAGCAAAAUAACUGAUGAUGGUCGAAGUAGAGAGGAUAUAAAAUGUAGACUGGCAAUGGCAAGGAAAGCAUUUCUGAAGAAGAGAGAUUUGUUAACAUUGAGUAUAGAUUUAAGUGUCAGGAAGUCGUUUCUGAAAGUAUUUGUAUGCAGUAUAGCCAUGUAUAGAAGUGAAACAUGGACGAUAAAUAGUUUGGACAAGAAGAGAAUAGCUUUCGAAAUGUGGUGCUACAGAAGAAUGCUGAAGGUUAGAUGCGUAGAUCACAUAACUAUUGAGCAGGUGUUGAAUAGAGUUGGGGAGAAGAGGAGUUUGUGGGACAACUUGACUAAAAGACUACCUCCCCUCCUUACUGAGUAAGUUCUCAGCAAAGAGAUUAAAAUCCAACAUCUUUUGUUCUCAGUUUGUUUCGUUUGCGUGUGUUUGUGAUACCGAAAGUUUUUCUCAAGUCAUUUCUGUGCCGAAAUGGAAGACUCAAAAUUAGCCUUUGUCAACAUUAUGAAAGAUUACCCCGCAAUCAUCAGUAAAUCGCAAACUCUGGCCGCAAGAAGAGAGAAGGCGGAUUGUAUUAAAGAAAUACAACACCGUUAUAUGGUUAGUUUCGGUAAAGAAAUUACGGACGGGCAGAUAAUGAAGAAACUGCACAACAUGAAAUCCUGUAUCAAGGCCAAGACGGAUGUUAAUAAGACGGGAAACAUUAAGAUUUCCCUGAAAAAUUGGGAGCAGACAUUUUUGAAGUUUUUGGAUGGAGAUGACUGCAACCCAACUAUCCACAGAGUUCCUGCUUGUGCAGUAGGUGGUGGUUCCACCUGUCAUCUCUUCAUCACGGAAUUUGGAGGUAGCUGACACAGACUGCACGUUGUAUGAACAAGAAUCAAUUUUGCAGCUACCACAAAUUGUUGCAGCUGACCAUAUGGAUCUCAUGGGCCCUGAAGUCGUCGUACCUUCUCAAUCGCCUGCUUCGGGGCAUGAGAGAGUGCCUAAAUGUCGGAGAUUAAGUAUGGAAACAGAUGACACUAAAUUUGUCUACUUCAGAGCUGCAAAGGCUGGUGCUAUUAUACCAAUUGGACAUAUUGAAAUGAAAGCAGCAGAAAUUGAUGCGUGAUGAAGAUAAACAAUAAAACAAAUUGUGUAGUGUCUUAUUUACGUACCGAAUUUUAUUAAUAAAAACAUCUUUUUUAAGUGAA